CUUAUUAGCCACAACGAACCCAAAGGUUUAUGAAGGGUUUAUAAGGUCGGUUUGCUAUAGAAAUAUCAACCUCCGCUAUUUUCUCGUCUUACAUUUCAGUCUCAUGAAUAUCUGCACUUCUAUUAAUCCAUCAAUUUGUUUCUCUACUAUAUUUUUUCUUCGUUACAACACUAUUUCCUACAAAAAAAUUCUUGAACACUUUGAUGUCCAGCACUAAAACCCCCAUUUCCCUCACAAUUAAAUUCAAUCAAUUUACUGAUUUAGAAACAAAACCAUAUCAGAAUUCCUCUAUUAUGUGGAGAAACAUAGUUAAACAGUUCUCUUCAAGAACCCCACAAAAGCUUCUUCUUAACUCCAAGAAUCGUACUUAUAGCUUUCUCGGUUUUAGCCAAGAUUCUAUUUUUAAAGAUAAAACAAAAUUAAGAUCAUUUAUCCCUGUUUCUUGUUUAAAUAGUGGAUUUCCUGAAAUGGGGUUUCAGAAUCUUGGUGAAUUUUUACCUGGGGAUGAGUUUUUAAACAGACCCUUAUUGUAUGCUAUGAAAAGUCAAGAUUUUUGUCGAAAGAACUAUGCUAGUGUAGCUGAGGCUGAAGCAGCAUCUUCCACUGAUGCUGAUGAAGACACAAAAGAUGUGUCUGUAGUUGGUGAAGUUCAAGAAUUGUUAACAGAAUUUAAGAAAGAAGAGAAAAAACAGUUUGAUUUUAUGCGGCGAAAGCAAAGGAUGUUGACUAGUGGUAUGGGCCAUAGGAAGUAUAACUCACUUAAGAGGAGGCAAGUUAAGGUAGAGACAGAGGCAUGGGAACUAGCAGCAAAAGAGUACAGGGAGCUUUUGUUUGAUAUGUGUGAGCAGAAAUUAGCACCUAAUUUGCCAUAUGUUAAGUCAUUGUUUUUAGGAUGGUUUGAGCCUUUGCGUGAUAAGAUAGCUGAAGAGCAGGAAUUUUGUAGUCAAGGGAAGAGUAAAGCAGCUUAUUCUAAGUAUUUUCACCAGUUACCUGCAGAUAUGAUGGCGGUUAUCACUAUGCAUAAGUUGAUGGGAUUAUUGAUGACAGGCGGCGACCAUGGUACUGCAAGAGUGGUCCAAGCUGCGCUUGUUAUUGGUGAUGCAAUUGAACAGGAGGUUAGAAUACACAAGUUCUUAGAGAAAACAAAGAAGCAUAAAGCCGAGAAAGAUACAAAAAUGGAAGAUGGAGAGCAUGUCACUCAAGAACAAGAGAAACUACGCAAGAAAGUCACUAGUCUAAUGAAAAAACAGAAGUUACGUGCAGUGAACCAGAUAGUGAGAAGUCAAGACGAUUCAAAGCCCUGGGGCCAAGAUGCUAAAGCAAAGGUUGGAAGCCGUUUAAUUGAGUUGCUUCUACAGACAGCUUAUAUACAGUCUCCUGCUGAUCAGUUAGCAGUUGAUCCACCUGACAUUCGACCUGCCUUUGUACACAGUGUUAGAACUGUAUCCAAAGAAACAAAGAGUGCGAGCAGAAGAUAUGGUAUUAUCCAAUGUGAUGAACUGGUUUUUAAAGGACUUGAAAAAACUGCCAGACACAUGGUGAUACCUUACAUGCCAAUGUUGGUGCCUCCAGUGAAGUGGACUGGUUAUGACAAGGGUGGACACCUCUAUCUGCCUUCGUAUGUGAUGCGGACACACGGAGCAAGACAACAACGUGAAGCAGUAAAGAGAGCCUCCCGGAACCAGUUGCGACCAGUUUUUGAGGCUCUUGAUACUCUGGGAAGUACCAAAUGGAGGAUAAACAAAAGGGUACUUUCUGUUGUUGAUAGAAUAUGGGCUGGUGGCGGUCGUCUGGCUAAUUUGGUUGACCGUGAUGAUGUCCCUUUGCCAGAAGAACCAGAUACGGAAGAUGAGGCAGUACGCACAAAGUGGAGGUGGAAAGUAAAAUCUGUCAAGAAAGAGAACAGAGAAAGGCACUCACAACGAUGUGACACCGAGCUCAAACUUGCUGUAGCACGUAGAAUGAAAGAUGAAGAAGGUUUCUUCUAUCCGCACAACGUUGAUUUCCGAGGUCGUGCAUACCCCAUGCAUCCACAUUUAAACCAUCUUGGUUCUGAUAUCUGUCGGGGUGUCCUGGAGUUCGCAGAAGGUCGUCCUCUUGGAGAGUCGGGCUUGCGCUGGUUGAAGAUACAUCUUGCAAAUUUAUUUGCUGGUGGUGUGGAUAAAUUAUCUCUUGAGGGCAGAAUAGCUUUUACUGAAAAUCACUUGGAUGAUAUAUUUGAUUCUGCUGACAAACCGCUCGAAGGAAGACGCUGGUGGUUGAAUGCAGAGGAUCCUCUUCAGUGCCUGGCUGCAUGCAUUAAUCUUAGUGAAGCUGUCAGAAGCUCAUCCCCAGAGACGAUGAUUUCUCAUCUUCCUGUGCACCAGGAUGGUUCCUGCAAUGGUUUACAACAUUAUGCUGCCCUUGGAAGAGAUGAGUUGGGAGCUGCUGCAGUCAAUUUGGUUGCUGGAGAAAAACCUGCUGAUGUUUACUCUGGCAUAGCAACUAGGGUCCUUGAUAUUAUGAAAAGAGAUGCACAGAGAGAUCCUGAAGAAUUUCCAGAUGCUGUGCGUGCAAGGGUUUUAGUUAAUCAGGUUGACAGGAAGUUGGUGAAGCAGACGGUGAUGACAUCAGUCUAUGGCGUCACUUACAUUGGUGCUCGUGAUCAAAUAAAGAGGAGGUUAAAGGAGCGUGGAGCAAUUGCUGAUGAUUCUGAGCUAUUUGGUGCUGCUUGCUAUGCUGCAAAAGUCACAUUAACUGCAUUAGGAGAGAUGUUUGAAGCUGCGCGGAGCAUCAUGACUUGGCUUGGAGAGUGUGCUAAGAUAAUUGCUUCUGAAAAUGAACCAGUCAGAUGGACAACUCCUCUUGGACUUCCUGUUGUUCAACCUUACCGCAAAAUUGGAAGACAUCUUAUUAAGACUUCUUUACAAAUUUUGACUUUGCAACGCGACACAGAAAAGGUAAUGGCCAAGAGGCAAAGGACAGCUUUUCCACCAAAUUUCAUUCACUCCCUUGAUGGUUCACAUAUGAUGAUGACUGCUGUUGCAUGCAGAAGGGCAGGAUUAAAUUUUGCAGGUGUUCAUGACUCGUAUUGGACGCAUGCAUGCGAUGUUGAUAAGUUGAACAUGAUAUUGAGAGAGAAGUUUGUAGAGCUUUAUGAAACGCCAGUUCUUGAGAAAUUGUUGGAGAGCUUCCAAAUUUCCUAUCCUACAUUGUCAUUCCCGCCUUUGCCUGAACGUGGAGACUUUGAUUUGAGAGAUGUCCUAGAAUCUCCCUAUUUCUUCAAUUGAUUGGGUUCAUGAGUAGCCUUCAUACUCACACCCUUGAAGUACUAAAACUGGCCAGUGUGUUCUUGUGCUUUCAAAUGCCAUAGUGGGGAAGAUGAUGAAAAGUUUGUGCUACUACAUAGUAUUCGGUGAGAUGCAGGUUCUGACUGUAUAUAUAAAAAUGGUCAGCAUCUUAAACCCCGGAUGCUCUGGUUCUCUUCUUGAUCGUGUAGCCUGCACUCCCUAGUGCACCUGGGGCAGAAGUUUCCAGUCCAAGCUUGUAUGCAAUGAGAAGACAGAUUUCCCGACCUGUUUCUAACAGAUUAUGGAGAAUAUGUUCCAAGAAAGCUUGUUGAGAAAUAUAAAUGAUCGCUGUAGCCUGUAGGGUCUAAACUCUACCGCAGAAGCUUUUGAGGUGCAAGGAUAGAAAUGAUCUCCAGGUUUUGCAGGCUGUUCGCCUAUAUCUCUGGUCAGAUUGUCCACCAGAUGCAAGCAGGGACAAUUCUCCAUCUACUUCUGUUCUUUGCCAUAGACCCUGCUUCCUCCCAACUCUGUAAAGCUUCUGUAAUCUUUCCAGGAUAUGCCUUUAAGGUUAAAGAAAAUUCUCCACAGCUGUUCAGUCACUUCGCAAUGUAGGAAUAGAUGGUUAACUGUCUCUGCUUUAUCUCCACACAAAAAACAUUUGGGACACAAUGUUAUCUGUCUUUUCAUUAAAUAUUGUCACAAGAUGCUCUGGUGGUGAAUUCUGUAUUUUGAUGCUAACAAAAUCUGUUUAUAUC
This is an RNA transcript of Lycium barbarum (goji berry), 4024 nucleotides long. It is a transcript of the gene named DNA-directed RNA polymerase 2B, chloroplastic/mitochondrial, with no coding region annotated. Lineage: Eukaryota; Viridiplantae; Streptophyta; Magnoliopsida; Solanales; Solanaceae. The transcript has 20 exons. The record is from RefSeq and is a predicted model, not a curated record.